CUAAUACAUGCAAGUCGUACGCUUCUUUUUCCACCGGAGCUUGCUCCACCGGAAAAAGAAGAGUGGCGAACGGGUGAGUAACACGUGGGUAACCUGCCCAUCAGAAGGGGAUAACACUUGGAAACAGGUGCUAAUACCGUAUAACAAUCGAAACCGCAUGGUUUUGAUUUGAAAGGCGCUUUCGGGUGUCGCUGAUGGAUGGACCCGCGGUGCAUUAGCUAGUUGGUGAGGUAACGGCUCACCAAGGCCACGAUGCAUAGCCGACCUGAGAGGGUGAUCGGCCACAUUGGGACUGAGACACGGCCCAAACUCCUACGGGAGGCAGCAGUAGGGAAUCUUCGGCAAUGGACGAAAGUCUGACCGAGCAACGCCGCGUGAGUGAAGAAGGUUUUCGGAUCGUAAAACUCUGUUGUUAGAGAAGAACAAGGAUGAGAGUAACUGUUCAUCCCUUGACGGUAUCUAACCAGAAAGCCACGGCUAACUACGUGCCAGCAGCCGCGGUAAUACGUAGGUGGCAAGCGUUGUCCGGAUUUAUUGGGCGUAAAGCGAGCGCAGGCGGUUUCUUAAGUCUGAUGUGAAAGCCCCCGGCUCAACCGGGGAGGGUCAUUGGAAACUGGGAGACUUGAGUGCAGAAGAGGAGAGUGGAAUUCCAUGUGUAGCGGUGAAAUGCGUAGAUAUAUGGAGGAACACCAGUGGCGAAGGCGGCUCUCUGGUCUGUAACUGACGCUGAGGCUCGAAAGCGUGGGGAGCAAACAGGAUUAGAUACCCUGGUAGUCCACGCCGUAAACGAUGAGUGCUAAGUGUUGGAGGGUUUCCGCCCUUCAGUGCUGCAGCUAACGCAUUAAGCACUCCGCCUGGGGAGUACGACCGCAAGGUUGAAACUCAAAGGAAUUGACGGGGGCCCGCACAAGCGGUGGAGCAUGUGGUUUAAUUCGAAGCAACGCGAAGAACCUUACCAGGUCUUGACAUCCUUUGACCACUCUAGAGAUAGAGCUUCCCCUUCGGGGGCAAAGUGACAGGUGGUGCAUGGUUGUCGUCAGCUCGUGUCGUGAGAUGUUGGGUUAAGUCCCGCAACGAGCGCAACCCUUAUUGUUAGUUGCCAUCAUUUAGUUGGGCACUCUAGCAAGACUGCCGGUGACAAACCGGAGGAAGGUGGGGAUGACGUCAAAUCAUCAUGCCCCUUAUGACCUGGGCUACACACGUGCUACAAUGGGAAGUACAACGAGUCGCGAAGUCGCGAGGCUAAGCUAAUCUCUUAAAGCUUCUCUCAGUUCGGAUUGUAGGCUGCAACUCGCCUACAUGAAGCCGGAAUCGCUAGUAAUCGCGGAUCAGCACGCCGCGGUGAAUACGUUCCCGGGCCUUGUACACACCGCCCGUCACACCACGAGAGUUUGUAACACCCGAAGUCGGUGAGGUA
This 1417-nucleotide ribosomal RNA is filed under the name Enterococcus durans. RNAcentral describes it as "bacterial SSU rRNA". It matches the Rfam family "Bacterial small subunit ribosomal RNA". The record is from RNAcentral. Lineage: Bacteria; Bacillati; Bacillota; Bacilli; Lactobacillales; Enterococcaceae.